AUGCUAGAGCCCCUCAAGUCCACAUGGCCGCUCAAAGGAAAUGUGGUCCAAGUGAUCACAGACAAUGCAUCUAAUGUGAGAGGUGCUGGGUUGAUGAUUCAAGCAAAAUACAAGAAUAUUUACUGGACUCCUUGCAUUGUGCACUGCCUCAAUCUUGUGUUGAAGGAAAUUUGUGACCCAAAGAAGGAUGAUAUUGAUGAAUACGAAGUUCUUAUGUUUAUAAAAGAGGUUUCUGACCUAGCUGCCUUUGUCAAGAACUUCAUCAUGAACCAUGGCAUGAGGUUGUCUAUGUUGAAUGAGUUUAGCAAACUCAAGUUCCUCCAAAUUGCGGAAACCAGAUUUGCAAAGCUUUGUGCACUUUUGAUCUCCCUACAACAACAUCUCCACCGUGUGCUCGAUCUCGAUCGAGAUAGAGGUGAUGAAAAUUUCAUGCUUUUGCAAAAUGGAAAUAUGUUUAUGUGUGUGUGA
RNAcentral lists this ribosomal RNA (468 nucleotides) under Triticum aestivum (bread wheat). RNAcentral describes it as "partial small subunit ribosomal RNA". Lineage: Eukaryota; Viridiplantae; Streptophyta; Magnoliopsida; Poales; Poaceae. The record is from RNAcentral.